This is a non-coding RNA of Pelobates cultripes (western spadefoot toad), 280 nucleotides long. The record is from the annotation of a GenBank genome assembly. NCBI's taxonomy places the organism in Eukaryota, Metazoa, Chordata, Amphibia, Anura, Pelobatidae.
CAACAUCACAUGCAACUCUGCCCCACUGACACCUGUUGGCGACUAUGUGGAGAAAAAGGCACAUACAUCCACAUGUGGUGGCAAUGCCCCAAAGUAAAAGAGUUUUGGGGAAAAAUAGUGGACAUGCACACUAAAAUCCUACACCGACAAAUAACACUGGACCCUUGGGCAUGCCUACUAUCACGACCGACAAACGGACUAGACAAACACGACCAAAAACUUCUGAAUAUGCUCAAUCUAGCAGCUCGCAGAGCACUGGCACAAUACUGGAUAAAACCAG